ACGUUGAUCAUGCGAUCUGAACAUCACAGAGCAAGCUCUAGAGCCAGAAGUGAGUCUCUGCUCCACCCCUUCCUUGGACAGCUGGCUCAGCCUUGGCCUCAGUUUGCUUGUCUGCAAAAUGGGGUGAUGGUACUAGUUAACUACGUCCCAGGUCGUGGUGGGGAGUGAAGGCAACGGUGUGUGAAAAGCACUUAGAACAGUGCCUGGACACAGUGCUGGAUACACCUGUGCUACUUCAUCACACCUGUGUUACAGAAGAGCCUAUCAAGGGCGCGGAGAGGUCUAGCAACAAGCUGCGGGACACAGAGCAAUCGAGUGGCAGACACCCAGCCAAGCCUAAAGGCAGUGGGC
Molecule: non-coding RNA, 351 nt
Organism: Ceratotherium simum simum (southern white rhinoceros)
Lineage: Eukaryota; Metazoa; Chordata; Mammalia; Perissodactyla; Rhinocerotidae
Source: RefSeq, a predicted model, not a curated record